This 465-nucleotide ribosomal RNA is filed under the name Vreelandella stevensii. RNAcentral's name for it is "partial 16S ribosomal RNA". It matches the Rfam family "Bacterial small subunit ribosomal RNA", at positions 338 to 795 of the family's 1533-position model. The record is from RNAcentral. Lineage: Bacteria; Pseudomonadati; Pseudomonadota; Gammaproteobacteria; Oceanospirillales; Halomonadaceae.
CCUACGGGGGGCAGCAGUGGGGAAUAUUGGACAAUGGGUGAAAGCCUGAUCCAGCCAUGCCGCGUGUGUGAAGAAGGCCUUCGGGUUGUAAAGCACUUUCAGUGGGGAAGAAAGCCUUGGGGCUAAUACCCUCGAGGAAGGACAUCACCCACAGAAGAAGCACCGGCUAACUCCGUGCCAGCAGCCGCGGUAAUACGGAGGGUGCGAGCGUUAAUCGGAAUUACUGGGCGUAAAGCGCGCGUAGGCGGUCUGAUAAGCCGGUUGUGAAAGCCCCGGGCUCAACCUGGGAACGGCAUCCGGAACUGUCAGGCUAGAGUGCAGGAGAGGAAGGUAGAAUUCCCGGUGUAGCGGUGAAAUGCGUAGAGAUCGGGAGGAAUACCAGUGGCGAAGGCGGCCUUCUGGACUGACACUGACGCUGAGGUGCGAAAGCGUGGGUAGCAAACAGGAUUAGAUACCCCGGUAGUC